Molecule: long non-coding RNA, 10485 nt
Organism: Motacilla alba alba
Lineage: Eukaryota; Metazoa; Chordata; Aves; Passeriformes; Motacillidae
Exons: 2
Source: RefSeq, a predicted model, not a curated record
CCCGGCCCCUCCGCCGCCACCCCCGCGCCGGAGGGUCGCGGCCAGCGCCGCGCUGCCCGUUCCCCUCAGCGCCCCGGCCGAGCCCUGCUGCGGAGAGGAGCCUCCCGCCUGCCCUUUGCGGUGUUCCCUCCCCGGCAGGUCCCGCACGGCGCGGCCCCGCAGCGCCCAGGCCCCUCAAGCGACUUGCCCGGGGGCUGUCGGGGGUCGGGAGCGAGAGGAGCCUGGGCCGAGUCACUUGGGCUCGUGGCGGCCGAGGUCGUGUUUUGGGGUCUGCAAGAGUCAGAAAAUGUCUGCAGAGCCCCUGACUAAUUUUUGGAGGUCUAAAGACUCCUUUGGGGAUUAUAAAGGGAAGGGGGGGAGAGCUGGAGGAGACUGGAAGGUGAGGGCUGAGAUGGCCUGAAGCACUGUACUGAAGGGGGACGAGGUGUGUUGAAGUCUCUGGAAAAAAGCCCGAGAGAUCUGAUGUUUCUGCAUGUUUUCUGCUGGUUCUUGCUUGCUCCUUCUUCUUGUGUCCGGUGCUGGGUGCUCCCCUUGCCGCAGGGGUCACGGACAGCCUGGUGCAGAAAUGGGACUGUGCCCCAUGGGCGGUCCCAUGGGGGUUUGUGUUGGUGAGCAUUGUCUGUGUGGAUAACAGAAAGGACUCUCCUGCUUACUGCCCUAGGAGCCAGAGCAUCUGUGACAUUUCUUUAGUCUUCAUUAAGGACCUUCAGUGAGUUACCUACCAUGGGAGUCGGGAUAUCAGCAGCCUCCAAAGUCUGUGAAGGCUGGCAUGGGACAGAGCACCGCCUAGGAAGCUGUGUCAGGAGCACUCACCUCUUGACACGGCUGCUAAUAGGUGGUUAUUACAGCCCAUUUUGCUGAGAGCUGAGGUUUGCCUCUGACAGCUGCUCUGGUGAUAAAGUGUUUCACCUCAUCUAAAAAUCAUAAACCUUUAAAAUACUCCUCUUUGUCUUUCAUAUUUGAAAUUAAAUAUUGUUACAAGUUUGGUAAGUUAGUUAUAAAAAAGGAUAUGAUUACAUAAAACAGAAGCAUCACCUUGGUAAGAGAUUUAUUUUGAAAUUAUGUCUAUAAAGUGCCAUUAAAGGAUGGUUUAAAAUAAGUCUUAGUGCAGAUGAACUGACAGUGGGCUCUGAAUAUUUUUGCACUGAGCAAACUAUUCAUUUACAUUAGUGGGGCAUCUGGUUCAUGAGAAAAAUUCUAAUUUUAUAAUCAAUCACAGAUUGUUUGCUCUCAUUUAAUUUAUGCUGUUUUACACCUUUAUAUAAGCUAUAUGAUUUUAUGCCUUCCUUCCUUUCUUCCUUCCUUCCUUCCUGUCUGUCUGUCUGUCUGUCUGUCUGUUACAAGGAGAAUUCUAGUCCAAAGUAAGAAGCCUAUUCACUCAUUCUAAUAGCAGGGGAGCCUGAAGUGGGGAGGACAGUCCUCCUCCCACCCAUUCAGUGCAAAAUUCCUGUUGACUGCAUGAAAGCAAAGCUAGUUUUAAAACUCUCCAAAUUCAUAGCAAAGUGAAAAAUUAUUUUGUGAUGCAAGGAAGAUAUGAGAAAUGUCUGUCCUAAUUACAAGUGACCAGUUGCAAUAUUUUAUAGAAACUUUUCGGUGAAAUCCAAUUCCAAACUCAUGAGGUAUGGAAAAUGUUCUUUAUCAUGCCUUCAUUAUUAACUUGAACAGGGAAAUUUUCAGUGUUUUGCUGAAUAUAUAGCUUACUGUGUUGGAACUCUGGAAUAUAUGUCAUUUAAUACCUUUUCAAGAAGAAUCCGUUCUCUCCAGUCCUGCUUUAGUAGGAUGACUUAUUCAUGAUACAUAGUACAAAAGAGUACUGAAAUUGUAGUGUUCUCUCCAAGGCCGUGUGUCUUUGAAAGGAUGGCAGAUAUUCCUUAAAACAUUGUUUUCAUGCUGUGUGUAUCAUAAAUACACUUACUUUUGCAUGGGCCUGAUCCUACAAGUGUGCUAAACAUAAAACUUAAAUCUGUGUACAAGGUGCUUUAGUGGACAAAGCUGUUCAAUCUGUAGGUGAGAGAUGUUACAGAAACUUUUAAGAUCAAACCUUUCACCCUGUUGCCUCAUUUUCCUGUGUGUAAAGUAAAGCUCAUGUCUGGCUGUAAACCUAACUAGGUCAGGAGUAGAUUUUUUGAAGAUGUGUAAAAUCAAGUAAAGAAUUACAGUCACAGUUCUACGUUGCAGCUAUAGCAGUUCUACCAUAGCAGAACUCCUCCCUGGUUUUUUGGCAAUUCAACAGUAACACCACUAUCAUUAAAUACAGGGUAAUUCCUUACCAACAAAGAUGCCAGGAGCAAUACAGGUUACAAUCUCAGCAAAUUCCAAGACAAACUGCAAUAAAUUAUUUCCUACUCAUGUGAAUAAUUUUUUUCACAUCUACUUUGUUUUCUGGAAUUUUGAUCAUUCUUCUGUUUUGAAGUACAUAUAAAUUUUAAUUUUUUUCUUCAUAUUAUUGAAACUUUCAAUCAACAGUUUUCUCAGGAUUCCUUGAUUUUUUUUUCCCUUCUUGCAAUGUCUUCUAUAGUCUUAGGUCUAUUUUUACCACCAGUAUAUUUUGCCAGUUUCAUAUCCACAAGUCCAACCUUCUGUGUUGGAAGAACUUUGUAGUCUGUCAUUCAUGUAAAUAAUAGUCUAAUAGAAGGUCUGUUGAAAUUAUUUUUACUGGAAAAUUGGGCUUUCUCCAAAACCUGCUGUUGGCAGGGUUGAUUCCUCAAUGAUAAAUGUGGUUGCUUGCUGAAUUUUCAGGUAAUAUACUUUGUCUAUUUUUUGUCUUUUUUUCAUCCCCCUUUGGAUAGUUCAGUAACUGUUCUGAUUCAGUUUCCACUAAGAAGUAAUUUAUCAUGUCAUUUUUCAUUUUAAGAGUUGAGGAGCACAUCUGUUAUGGCAUUUGUCCCUAUACAGAGAGUCAGUGAAGACAACUGAAACCCUUACAUCACAUUUUUGUGGUCUAUAAAGCUCAUUAAAUAUUAAGCCAUUCCUGUGGGUUUCAGUUUGAACCAGAUUCCAAGAGCAGUGAAUGAAAAUAAAAAUUUUACGAUUACAGAUUUCAUAAAGUUUUUAUUUCUAAUCAAAAGCAUGAGCUAUGAGGAUGUUCAUAGUAGCAUUGUAUUCAAGUAUAAGAAAUAAAAUUCUGAAUUUUCUCAAUGCAGAAAGAAAUGAAGUAACUGUUGGGCCAUCAGACUGGAUGUCAGUAUCAGCCACAGGGAGAUGGAAUAAUGCUCCUUACUGUUAGAAGGAAGACUCAUCUCCAUGCAGGUAUUCCUGUUCCUUGUGUAGGCAAGACAUCAGUAAUUUGCAAGUCUGGCUUAGUGUGAUUUCUGUUAGAUUUGGUGAGAUGGAUAGUUACCCUGAAGGAAAACAGUUCAUCUUAGAGACAUGAACAUCUCUACAGUCUUAAUAAUACAUUCUUAGAGAAUAUAGAUCUAUUCCAAAAAUACAGAUACAUCUGACAUAAUACAGGUGUUAUGCAGUGUUUUAUAAUCUAGAAUUGAUUGGUUGAUUUUGCAACUUGCUCACAUAGAUGUCUCCCAUUUAGGAAAAUGGUGCAAGCAUUAUAUUUCCUAAAACAACAUCUUGUUGAUAGAAUCACUGUCAUUGAUACCCAGCCAUUGUAUUAAAGAAUACUUUUGUUUCAAAUCUAGACAAUCAGUUUUUAUUUUUUAAGAAGCAUUGCUUAAUAAUUUCCAUGCAGGAAAGUCUUAGACCAUCAGCAUGUCCUUUUUUCCUUUUUUUCCCUUUUUUUUUUUUUUAAUUUAUCAGUACUUGAAUAAUCUGGUAUUCUUAAACCCCUCAGGCAAACUCUUUGACUUCCUCUGCCUGGCAGAUGGGUUUUAGCCAUGUAUUGUUUCUUAAAAUGUUUAUGUUGUCACACUGAUCAUAUUUUUCUCAGCUGGAAAAACAUUUUUGUAGAAAAUCCUGUUUGCUGGUUGUCUCAAAGGUUUUAAACGUGCUUGUACCUUUCAUUUAGGCCAAAAAAAUUUUACAUGCAGGUAUUUUAUAUUGCUUUGGGGGAGCAUCAAAGCUAAAGCUUAGCAAGUCAAACAUCUUUUAUGAAUGGUGCUUUUUUGUAUGGAUAGGAAGCUAGUUCAAUUAAAAUAGUCAAAACCCCCAAGAAUAAAGACAUGUCUCUUCUAAAAAUUUUGCAGGGGUUUCUCUCAGAUUAACUUUGAAAUCAUAUCCUGAAUUUUAUUUGCAUUUCAGUUCCUAUUCUUGACACAUUUGAGGGUUUGUGGGUUUUUUAAGAUUUCUAAAUGAGCUUUAUCUAGCCCUAGCAUCAAAUAUUACUGGUUUUGGAAGGCAGUGGUUGUUUCCAUUGUGUAACACUGAUAGGGCCACUUAUGAGUCAUUGAGGAAAAAACACCAGAAUGUCCCACUGAGGAGGACAAAAUGCAUCAAAAAUUGCAAAGGUCCACCACCUCUGUAAUUCUUCUGAUCUGAAAUACGCUUUGCAUUAGAACUUGUUCUGCCUGUAUUAAUUAUGCACAGCACUAGACACAAGCAGGAUGCUUUCUAGCAUGAAAGCUGGGCCUAAAAUAACAGGAAAAGAGGACUUGGAUUCAAAGAACAUGGGCUGAAACAGGUCAUGAAUGGAAUUUUGCAUGAAGCUGGAGAGGGUUUUUCUAUCUCAGGAAAGUGUAAGAACUUGAUGUAAAUUAACUCUUGAAGGAGAGUGUGCUGAUUAAGGGCAGACUGUUCCCACCCUGAGAAGUAGCCACAGUCUGGAUUCCCCUCUGCUGGCUAACUCCAGCUUGGCAUGGUUAGAUGUGUUCUCACAUACCACUCUCCAGUCUCAGCAACUUAAAAUUCCUGAUUCAUCCUACAGUGGGAGCUGCAGCAGGGCUGCAAACCAUGCGUGAGUCCUGCUCUGGCUGCAUGCACAUGGCAGCAGCUGAUGGAUGGGAGCCCCCAGAGUUCCUUCUCCCUGCCUCCUCAGCCAAGUCCCAGCGGACCAGGGCUGGCAUCCCCUGGCACAGGUGGCAGCCAAGUGACAAGCUGUACUUGCUCGUGACACACAGUGUUAGAAGGGUCACGCCAGGUGCUCUUGUUGAUUCACCAGUGAGUGAAAUGCAAUGGCAUAUCUCCACAUGAGCUGGCUCAAAUCUUGCUGCUGGCUAGUCAGCAGUGCACAAAUCUGGGUUUAAUAAAUAUGGAACCAUAAAUUCAGACAGGAGCAGGAACUGGCAACUAAUGAUUUUGACUUAUUGUGGCCUCUGAGCUGUUUGUGCAGCUGUUCAUGAAGCCAUGCUGUAAAUCAAAUCACUCAAUCCAGAUUUUUAAAGUUCUGUCUAAUCUAAUCAUUUUUAACCAGAAUUUUUCCAUAGAUUAAAUUCACGCUCUGGACCCACAAACAGUUGCAUUGGCACAAUUGCAGCCCUGGUAGACUGUGACACACAGAUGGUGUGGAAAGAAGGAAGGGAGGCUGGUAAGUUUGUCUGUGGGGACAAUAUCCUUGUAUAAUUAUGACCUUGCUCUGAACCACAGACUCUCCAUUAAUUUCACUUUCUGAUCCCUCAUGCUCAGCCCUUCUCAAACUGAGCCUAUACUCAGGCUCACAUGCUAGUUAUGUCUCAUCUGUGCAAUCCUAGAUCAUCUAAUGGUAAUAAAUUGAUCAAGAUUAAAUAUGAACAUGUAUUUGCAUUUCUCUCAAGUUAGUGAGCUGUGAGUUACAGUGUUUAGACCAAGCUUUAUCCUGGCUUUUUACUGGCAGCAGGAAGACAGAUGAUAUCAACUCUUAACGUAAAACCAUCAGAAGGAAAACUAUUCACCAGUCCUUGUUUUUGAGGGUUUUGGGUUUUAAAUAACUUUGUACUGCCAAGUUGAGUUUGUACAAAGAAUUUCAUGCCACAUUGCCAUCCAAAAAUUAAAUUUAUUGCAUCAUGAAAUUGCAGUUAUAUACUGCUGAGAGUAGGCUUUCAGCUUCUCUCAUAGGAUAUUUUUGAAUAUACCUGUUGAGUCUAGGGGAAAGGGGAUGAUUCUUUGUUAAAAGGUGAUAUGUAAUAUUUUAAAUUCUUAUGGUCUCUAGCCAGGAAAGGUCCCUGUUACAGCUGUUGCAGUUAGAAAGAAACAAAUGGAUCUUGGGCAGAAAAACAUUAUUUAAAUCCUUACCCUCUCAUGGUUACAUGUACUGUUUUAUACCUUUCAUAUCCUCACAGAUGUAAGAAUAAUCCCAUAUACAUCUAUACCAAAUAAAAAGGUUUUGGCAUUUUCCUACCAGAACUGAAGUGUACUUUCAAUUUGAAAAGCAGAUCCUCACCUUAAUUGUCUUUCCCCUGCUGUAUUUCUCUUUAUAGUCUUAAAGAAAUAACAGCUUUUCUCUAGGCACAAGAAGAUGUUAAGCAAGGGAGAGUCAAAGUGAAAACUUGGCAAGAGCUAAAACAAAGAAUUUUUCCAAGGAAAUGGAGUAGACAGGUAAAAUUAAUUCCUUAUGUAACUCCAUUUACCUCAGUACAGUUACAGGAAGGAUGAAUUUGGUACCUUAUACCUCUGUGGUCAGAAAAAGAUUUCUGUCAUCUCAAUCAGCACAGUAUAAAAUAAUAAUUCCUAAGAAACAGAAUUGUAAUUUGAGUCUGGUAGAACUGCCCUUGUUAUUUUUAGUCUAUUAAUAUGAUUGUAAAAGAACAAUACGUCUGCAGAACAACAAAAAAAAGUCUUCAUAAAAAGAUUAGUACAUGAUGAUUUGUAGCUUACAUCCUUGGUAACAUUUUUUUGUGGGAAAGAGGAAUUCAUGACAGACUGCUAAAAUGGGCAGGACAGCAGAGACAGCUUCUCUUUCUUGUAAGUUCCAGAAGCUUUUCUCCAGUUUGCUGCAUGGCAACUUCAACUUUUUCCCUUCAGUCUCAUCCUUCUCCUCUGACCACCCCUAAUUCAAAUUCUCCAUUCCCUCAAGACUGAUUGAGUUCCACUGUGUGUGCAGGGGCCUCUGUGGCUUCUCUUUACUGAUGAGUUUUUUUAGAUUUUUCUCCUCAGGCAGAAAUAUUCAGCCCCUUGGGAUAGAUAAAGGAGAGAUGCUCAACCUCCACCAUAAUUUCUUUUCAGAUUUUAAAUUUCAGUAUGUUUAAAUUUGAGAUGCUUUAAAAUAAUGCAAAUUCACUGUGAGAACCCAGCCUUCAUAUGCCAAUCUGUGGUACUAAAGUGUAGCUGUACCCAGAGAUUAUUUCCAUUUUAAAACCUUAUUAUGAAACAUCAUCCUUGCCUCUCCCACCCCACUGCCAAAUUCAGGAAAUACUUUUAGUAUCAAUGUUAAGAUCUUUUAAUGCAGUAACAUUAAAGCAUUCAUAUAGUGUAUUAGUGCAAUGAAAUUUAAGUCAACAGUCUGUCUUUUUUAUCCUUAACAACUUGCAACUCUCAGUUUUAACACAGGGGAAGGUGUCUGUGUAUACAAGCGUAUAAAAGAUGUGAAAAUACAAAGGCAUUUAUUGAAAACAGACAAAACCAGGAAGAUGAUAAAAUAGCAGAAGGAAGUGGCCUCACAUAUAAAAACUUUUGCUUUGUAUAGCAGAAUUUAUCACUAAAAGCUCUGGCUGGCAGCUUGCCAUGCUUUGGACUAAACAAGGAAUGUAACAUAAAAAAAAUUGACUUAGUGUACAAAACAAUAGAAACAACAAAGUCCUACAAAGUGAUUAAAUUAAACAUUUUUUUGUUUCCUUUUAACGUGUAUCUUUAAAAGUUUUGUUAUAUUUUCCAAUAGCAGAAAUCUUAUUUGCACAGAUGCAAGCUCUCCUCUUAAGGAUGUCUACAUCAAUCAGGUGUGCCAUUCAGCAGGAUAUGUGAAAUUCCCAAAUAUCCAAAUUAAACAGUGAUGGUGAAGCUAUACUUUGAAAGCAAAUAAUUUCAUUUCACAAUAGUGGAACCACUAAAGCAUAUUUUAUAAAAAGUUACUUCAGUUUUAAUGCACAAAGCUGCUUGAGAAAAUGUGGACUGCUCAAUGUUUUCACACUGGAUAAAGAAUACGUUUCUUAAAUAGACUAUGUUCUCCAUUGCUUUUUAUGUUAGUGGGAAAAAAAUUUGAAAGCAUUAGGGAAUAACAGUCCAGUUAUGCCUGAAAGACUUUCACAUAGCAGUCUUUGAAAUCUGCUGUUGAUGGAGAACACUUCAAAAGCAUGAGAAUCUGGGAUACUCAGUUCAGUUAUUGUACCAGCUGAGAACAAAUGAAUUAUUUUCUGCAAGGAUGUUCUUCCCCCUGGCCUGCUAAGGCCUGCAUUCUGCUAUUCCUGCUGGAAGUGGUAUCCAGUAGGACAUGGAUAAUGAGCACAGCUGAAUUCUCAUGACUAACAAAAUCCUGCCCCUGCUCUUUACUCUGAAAGGCUUUUCCAGAGCUCAGCAGUUAAGGAAGACUCCAAACCUGAAAAACAAGAUGGCAGAUAAUUACAAUUAAAACAAACAGCUAAUUUUUUCAACGUCUUAAUCACAUUUGCAAGAUAAAUACACUGCCAAGUACUAGUUAUGUUCUUAAAUAUUGUCUCAUUCACAGUUAAAACCUUUUCAUCUUGUUGUCAGGAGUGGUUAUCUCCUCCAUACAUUAAAUCAUUCCAUGAAGUAUUUCUAUGUAUUUCUUAUAUUUGAAUCUCCAGUGUCCUGAUUGUUUCUGUGGAAUUUCCAUAUUUACUCCCUACCAAGUACAGUUGCCUGGCAGUUCUUUUUCUAGCUGCUGCUUUUUCCUGAAAUGGUGUGGACUUCCUGCAUAUUUUGUACAAAGCAUUCUCUUCUGUAAAUGUAAUUUUAAUUUUGUUUUAGUAAAGCUGUGAUGUUCUGAUAUGAGUUAAAAAGAGAUAAAUUCUUCAUAUUCUUCAGCUAAAAUAAUGAAAUGCUGCCUUGAACCUAUUAGAAAUAAUAUUAUUUUUAUUAGAUCAUGAAACUGCAAGUAAUGACAGAUAAAUCAGUAUUCUUAUAAAUCUAAACUGCUAAUCAAUAAAAGAUGUUACUCCAGAAUAUUGACCAUAGGCAACAGCAAUGACUAAAGCAAUAUCUUUAUCACAAUGGGCUUUUGGGAGGUCUGUACUAAUUCCAGAGUAACACAACAGCAAAGAAGGGUGUGCUUUUCCCAUGCUUAAUGCAGCACCUACAGCUACACACUUGGGGUGCGCUUCCAUUCUUUCUACUGCACUUUUAAUCAUUUAUGGAAAGCACUUAGGCAGGAAUAUAUCCUUGAUCUAAACAAGCAGAUAUUAAUGCAUGUGUAUGUUUAUAUUUGAGUGUUUAUAUAUAGUUACUACAGGCAGUCAGGAAAACUACAGUUUCUGUUUUAUGUUCACGAAAUGGUCUUUUAGCUCUAGAUCACAAUAUCAGAGAUGUUCAUGCUGGGAGCAUGAUGAGCAAAAGACUCCCUGAAUGCUGCUGCAAAGCUGGUUGGACAUCCUGCCUUGGUUUCAGUCCACUUUUGAACCUUGUCCACUCACACUCAGCAGUCUCUUGGAUAAAGGGAACUCUUUAAUUUCCUUACAGGGCCCCUUACUAAAAGUUUAGACACAAACUCCACCUUUGAGUUUAGAGUCUGCCUCCAUUGUUAAAACAAUGCCUCCUCCCCUUCUGCUAACAAUCAAUAAUUGUUUAACACUUCUGUAGUAUUUCUUUACCCUGAUAACAACAGCAACUUUUUGAGAUGUCAUUUCAAAUAUAUCCCUGAAUAACUGAAUAAUUGAUCAAUAGUAGUAGAUAAAAAUACUAAAAUUAUGUUUAACUGCAGCACCAGCAUCAAGCAAAGUAAUACAAGACUUAUCAUGUCACAAAUGAACAUUGUGUAGCUGUGAAAGGAAAAAAAAUAGAAUUUAGUACUCCAGGAAGUAAAAAAGUUACACUUUCUUAUCAUAAAAAGCUUUAAUAACCUUGUUAAAAAUUGCUUUGAGCAAUUAAUGUGAGGCUAAGAUUAAAAAGCAGUAGUGAGCUUAAAGCUAUGUAGAGUCUUAUCAAAAGCUGUUACCAAUUUAAUCAUUCAAACAAAGUAGCAAAUGUUACCAUUUUAUAAACUGGAAUUCCAAAGACAUUUCUCUGAGAAGACCAGCCAUAUGCUAUAACUUUAGACAUGCUGUAUUUUAUUAUUAUAAUUGUCAGAUGGUAAAUUCUGUCUCAUUUUUUCAAGAUAAUACACCUAAAGAUGGCUGUUCUAUGAAGAGUACAGUAUUUGGAAUGUAUGCAAUAAAUUUCAAGGCCCUUCAGGAACAUGACAUUGUCUCAGUGGGAAUGGCUGGGAAGAUUCACAUUGACUCUGCUGUGCACAGGGCUGCACUUUUAACCCAGGCUAAAUUUAAUGAUGUUCCCAUAAAUCACCAAGUCCAGGCAUUGUAGCUCAGCUCACACAGGCAGAUCCUCAGCUCCAGAGCUCUGAUUAAGUCAACAGGGCUAGACAUCAGUACUGAUCUUGUGUGAUUGGAUUACAGGAUUGGAGCUGUGAUUUGUCCUGCUGAAACCACUCUAAGGUACUUAAACAGACAAAUCCUACUAUCAGAUUUCUUUUCUUAUUGAUUACACUUUCUGAAAUGCAAAAAAAAAAAAAAA